Long non-coding RNA from Pseudopipra pipra, 7855 nucleotides. RefSeq lists it as uncharacterized. The record is from RefSeq and is a predicted model, not a curated record. Lineage: Eukaryota; Metazoa; Chordata; Aves; Passeriformes; Pipridae. The transcript is spliced from 5 exons.
GGACAUUUGAGCUCAGUGGCAGGCUUCAGAAGACCAAAAUGCCUGUGGAAAUUCAGACAGUGGUGAAAACCCCGAAAUAAAUCAUUGCAUUUGUCUUAGAGCAGCAUUGCUACUGCUAUCUAAGAUCCAUUAUUUAAUUAUAUGGCAAUAGGCAUCCUAUAAUGAACUAAUCACUGUUCCUUUCAUAGAUGAAAGAGAAAGAGCCUUCUGAACUGUUGAGAACCAAAACUUCCCAUCCCAGUGGUCCCCAGUCAGCCUGAGCCUUCCUCCAUCUGAGACAUGGGUUCAGAACAGGUUGCUAUUGGCAUGACUGGAAAAUUCAAGUGGGGUGCUGUGAAACAGCAUUUCUCCUUGUUCCUCUGUUGCACAUGUGCUCAACCAAGGUGAGAGAGCUUUCCCUGGGCAGAUAAGGCCACUGCUGGUUCCCCCCAGUUCUCAGCCUCUGGAGCUGCCCCAGUGUAAGUACUGACAUAAGUAAGAACCCUUCUUCUGAACUGGUGAACAAUUCAGGUGUGUUUAGGAAUACUUCUCAGAUGGCAUAGAUUUGAUUUUACCAGAAGAACCAACAAGCAGCCUGAAAGCCACUACAUGUGGUUUUUACAGUAUAUUAGCCAUCUCCAAAGUGCUUCAGCCUAAGCCUCCCAUUCCUAACCCUUUUAGCUGCUGAAGGAGAGUUAGGAGCAGCUGGUGCCAUGGAUGCUUAAAAUAAUCAAUAAUUGCUUCAGGGUAGAUAGCUUCUUCCACCAAACACAUCAGUAUGAUUUACAGUGGAAAAAAAACACCCAACCAACACAUAUUCUGGGUCUCUCUUUUUUUUUUAAGGUAGCUAAUAAAUAGUGUUGGACUUAUUGCUGUUUCUUGGCAAGCCUGAGAGGACAGAGGAAGCCCAUGUUUCUCUAACCAAACAGCCCCAACCACAAGCAUCACUGAGUUUGUUCUUGGGUUCUAGCCCAAAUCUCAGCUUUCCCACUCCACUGACAGUACCAUCUUCCAUCUCAAAGCUGAGGGGAGAGCAUGGUGUCGCCCAGUGUAGUGGUUUGGUUUAGGCCUUUUCCUGACAACCAGGUCGAAACUAAGGAAGUACCCCUAUCCCAAUAUUCUAAUCUAUUCUUUACGUAAGUAGAAAUAUAAAUAGAAGGGGGAAGGAAGUCGGAAAGUUAGAUCUCUUCCGGCGGAGUUGGAGAAAGCAAAGCAGCCUCCCUGCGGUUGGGUUUCUCAUGUGGGAUUGUGAGGCCUGUGAGUUUUUGAGAGGCUGUUGCUUCUUCCUGAUUCGAGAGGAGAGAUCUGGUGGUGUAGACUUUGUGUUCUUAAGGAAAGUAUUAAGAUUUUGUUGGUUAGUUCUUUAUUGGCUGCGUAUAUCUGUUUUUCAUUUUUUUCUGGGGUGUUGUGGUUCUCUUUCUUAUAUGUAUAUAGUUUUUUGUAAUUGUAUAUAAGUGUAAAUGUAUAUAUAUAUAUACUGCUUUGAUUCUGUUAUUUCAGUCUUUUGUUUGUUUUUUUUCCUCCUCUUCCCUUUCCUUCCCCUGUGUUCAUAGAAGGGGGGCAGUGGGGGGGGAAGUCUCUUACUGUGGUCUUGGGCUCUUGGCAGGGAGCCAAGUCUAAACCACCACACUCAGUUUUUAUGGUUUUUUGUGGUUUUCCUCACCAGAACACUUGUAAAGCUCGGACAAGUGGUAUUCCCUGAGCUGUUGACAGACAUCUCCACCUGCCCUUCCCAGGUGUGCCUAAGGGAUCUGACACACAGCUGGAUGAGAGUAUCAGUUCAUGGGCUGCUGUCCUGAGAAGACUAGUGGGGUGGUGUCUGUCUUGAACAGCAACUGUCCUUACAGCUGGGGGGCUCUUUCUUUGGUUUUGUGGGUUGUUUUUGUGAGGUACUUAAAGGCACAUUCUGUUUUCUCUCUUAAGAAAAGCCUCUUUUAGGUGGUGGUUUUGUAAAGAGAAGAAGAGCUUUUGAGAAGGUUUGGCUUUGGCACUUCCUGGAAGAGAAAUCACUGCUUUGCAAUGACCAGGUAUGGUGAUGUGUGAGCUCCCAGCUGACACCACUGUAAGGAGGAGAGACCAAAGGAUGCCAAGUAACUAUCCUAACCAAUGUUACUGCAGUUCACUUCCUGGCCUCCAAGAAAGAUGAGAAUGUUUCUUUUCCCUUCCCAGGGAGCAAAAUCUGAAGUAACAGUCUCUUGAAAUAGUGCUGGUAGUUUGUUAUUCAUGGCUGCUCUUGUUACUUCUGAGAAUAUAGGGAAAACUUGUGACCCUCACUGAAUGAAUGCCUGCAAGAGGGCUGCUUGGCUGAUGGGCUCUGGUCUGGAUCUCACCCAGCUUCAGGACCAAACAAGCAGAUGAGUGUGGUAUGGUUAGGAGCUGCUUUCAGACAAGGAAGCUGGUUCCCAGUGAUAACAUUAAGAUGAGUGCAUAGACAAUCAAAUAAGGUGUUUUAGCCCCUUUUAAUUUUAUUGAAAGAGUUGUUAAAGGUUAUUUUGGAAGUACAUUGUUUUAAAUCCGUUUUUUUCCCCUUCCUUGCAGUGUACAAUGAGGGCUUGAGAGUUCUAGGAUGCCUUAAAGGUUUCUUAGUUGCUUUUUUUUUCUCCCCAUAAAAUUGAAGAUAUCAAAAACAUGCGGUCUGUGUUUUGCAGUCAGUUGUCUUGAGUUAAUGACUGUCCUGGUUUCAUUUGUGAUAGAGUUAAUUUCUUCUCAGUACUGUGCUGUGUUUUGGAUUCAGCAUGAGAACAAUGUUGAUAACAAACUGAUGUUAUUUGCUGAGUCCUCUUCAUCUCAAGUCAAGGCCUCUUUCUUUAUAUCUCAUGCUGUGGGAGGUACAGUGAGGAGGUACACAAAAGAAAAACUGGGAGACAGCAUAGCGGGGACAGGUGACCAGAACUCCAGAAUACCACAGGGGUAUUUCAUACCACAGAACAUUAUGCCCUGUAUAUAAACUGGGGGAGCUACCCAGAAUGGGGGCCUGUCUGGGUUCGGGGUCUGGCACAGGUCAGCGGGUGGUGAGCAAUUGUAUUGGGUAUCACUUGUUUGUUUUGUGGUUUUUUGUUUGGUUGGUUGGUUUUUUAAUAAUCACUGCUAUUAUAUUUUACUUUUUUUCAGUUAUUAAACUUUUCAAUCUACAAGUUUUACUUUUGAUUGUCCUUUCCAUUCCACGGCUGGGGAUGGGGAGGUGGUGAAUGAAUGGCUGCAAGGUGUUUAGUUGCCAGCUGGGCUUAAACCACGACAAUGACAUUAGGUCAUUCUUAUUGUAAGGGCCCACAUUUUGGGUGGAAGUGCUAGGUGUAAUAAAAACUCUAAGAAUUUUUUCUUCUCCUGGAAUUAGUUUUACUUUUUGGUUAAAUUAACUGUUCAGUGAGAGUUAGCUGAUGUUCAGCUCUCAGCACUCUGACUAAAAGGAGUGUAAUACUUCCAUUAUCUUUCCUGUCACCAUCUCGCUUGGGUGUUGGUAAGAGCUGAGCUUUGAAUGAAAAGAAAAAAGAGUUCCUAAUUAAGCAUAAAAAUAAAUUAGCACAGAAGCUAUUACCUUCUUAGCAAUUAGCACAGGAGAGAGCAAAUUGUAGCAAAUUCUGGUAUUCUGAUUUUUUUUCCCCUAAACAUUCUCUUGGCUGCCUGAGUUUUACCCACCAGCACAGUCCCAACAGCCGGGCAGAUACCUCACACAGUGAGGAGCUAGGAAAUGAUUCACAGCAUUCACUUUGCCAGGGAAUUUUCUGAAUAACAAAAUCCGAGUGGGAACAGCACUAAGCAACCAAACUCUCAAAGCCUUAAAUUAAAAACUAUCAGAGGCUAUUUAGGACUAGGACAGAAAUAGGAGGAAGUAAAAGGAAAAUUCUGCAGAAAAGGCGCUUGGUGCGUGAAGCACCUGAGACAAGGAAGUUACUCUUUUACCACCAUAUGAAGUACUGAACAAAUCUUGAGAGUGAAUUUCAUGCCUCUUACCAGUUGCCAGUGAAAGUGUCCCCUGAAUUGCCUGCUGGUAACUGUCCUGCAGAACUGGCACCAGCAAGCUCUUCCCACACUGAUGUGCCAAUAGGUCUGGAAAAGGUGGAUUAUUUAUUUCCAAGAGAACAUCAUAAAUCACCAGGUGUCACUGAGAAAGGGAUGGAGAAUACACAAUUCCAGUUUUGGAAUUGGAUUCUUUCUGUCCAACACUGCAAGAGAUCUUUCAAAGCAUGCAAAGUUUUCUAUGAAUUGAGAAAUGAAGACAAUGGGGUCACAGAAAUUCCAGGGCAUCAGAAAUCCAGUGCCAGAGCAGUAGCCCCACAAGAAAUAAAUCCUGUGCUUCUGACUCUUCAAGACAUGGCUCUGAAGCAUCUAGUGCUGGGGUGCUUUAACUCACAUGGAAAGAGAAGCAUGGACUACCUCUGUCAGGGUCCCACAUCAACCCAGCCUCCUGAGCUACACUCACUCAUGAAUUCUCCAGUCACCAGAGGAGAGACCUCCUUGCAUCAUACGUAAAUACAGUAUGUGCGGUCCAGCCAAGGGAGCCCCAUUAGAAAUAAGCCACCAUCCUUCUGUGGAAUCUGGCUCAAGGUGACCAGGUGUUGUACUUGGCUCCAAAUAUUUAGACUCUUUUAACAAACAGUACUAUUUGGACUCAGAUUUGACUUAAAACCAUAUAAUUUUUGCAUCAGUUUUUCCAGUUGAAAUUAUACAUGUUCUAUGAAAAUGCUUUCUUCUGUAAAUACUGCAUUUUUCUCCCUCCUUAAGUAGCAAAGUACUAAAGUAUUUUUCAAGAAGCUGAUAUAACUACAGUGAUGAUAUAUCUCUCAUUAAGAACUGAUACUAUUAAUUUACAUGGCUUGAUUUUUCUGUGUAAUGGUGAACAUUUGUUUGGGUUUUUUUAACUCUAAGUAGCUAAAUAAAGACUUACUCCUUGGACUAAUGCAGAUAAAGAAGAAGUCUCUUAAUCUGGAAAGGAAUUACUAGAAUGUAGAAGCAAGAAAUUACCUUUGUAUAAUUUCUCAAAAAGCUACAUAGGUACAGAUUAUCUAUAAAUACUUGGAAGUUUUGGUAUUAACAACCAUUCUGGUGCUGCAUGAAGACAAGAAUUUUUGCCACUGUUUUUCUUCCUCUUCUGUAACAAAUCUGUGAAGUAAUUUUUCAGAAUGGUUGGUAUUACUGCAACUCAAAGCUUAAAGAUUCUAUAAUGAAACUUGAAUUUCUCCAUUUGUGCUAAUACACUUACAGUAGUGAAAACCACAACCAGCAAUUUUUGCUUUAUUUUGUACUACAAUUAAGUUGGAUGAAAAUGUUUUCCAAUGUAAGACCUUCCAAGUGCCAGUAUGUACAAGUAACUAAACUGAAUAUGAAUCAAUAAAUUGAGCUUCCCAGGAAACAGUAUAAUAAGUGUAUUCAGAAGUCUGUUCAUAUUCUUGGGUUUUGAAGAAAAUUGGUUUUCAGUUUCGUUUUAUGGAAGUCUUCAUAUCUCACACUCUCAGUAACUGCUCAGAGAACUAAAGACACCACAGAUUAAUGUAGCAGAGACAAGACCCUCAGCUGUAUGACAGAACACAAUUCUUGCAAUGGAAGAGGUGUGAACACUUUAAAGAAUCACAGAUGGUCAGUGAAGAAGAAAAAACCUCUCAUAGAUGGAUCACUAACUAUUUUAAGCUAGAAAUAUUGACUGAAAGCUUGGAGUUUCAACAAAAUGAGAAACUUAAUCAUUCACGAUGGAGAAAGAAAUAUGUAAACAUCAGAAAGUUGUGCAAGAUAAAACACCCAAAUUUUAUAUACGUAAAAAUUGGUUCCCUCGCUCUUUAGAACAUGAAAGGGACAGGCAAAAUAUUUUUCCUGUCACAACUGAAAAUUGCAAGACAAAUGUAUCCAGAUAUGUAAACUGCUUUCCUAAUCCGUGAGAACUGACUGGCCAAUUCUUUGUUUGUUUACACAUGGAUGAAGUCAAAGUGCCAGCAACUUACCCACAACUGGUGGAAGAAAUACCCUACAGAAGUUAUUCCAAGACCAUGGAUUAGUGGCCACUGCUAAGUAAGCAAGCUUUUGGAGGAUAUUUAUCACACUGCAACCAUGCAGAAGAGAUUGGUUUUAAGGCUUGAACACCCUAUUUACUAGCAGGGACAGGGGUGAAUAUGUAACUUCAUUGCAGAAAAAGGAAUCUAGAGAACAAGUUUGUUUCUUACUUCCAGAACUGGCUGCUGGUUUUGUAUAUCUUGCACAGAACACAACAUGCCUUAAAACAGAGCAACUGAAAUGGUAAAUGUGUGAAAAGUAAAGUGAGUGAUGAGACUUCACAAAAAGGAAAAAAGGAAACUGGUCAGCCUGCUUUGCAAGAACAUGACUAUUCCAAUAAGCAAUUCAUGUUCACAAGAGGAAUCUUCCUGAAUUUGAUACAGUUCUUUUUUUUUUUUUCAGACUCAAUCAAUAAAUUGAUGUUUAAUCCAUUUUUAUAACUGAAAAUUCAGAGUUUAACCCCAUUCACACCAAGAUAGCUUCAUUUCCAGCUACCAAUUUCAGAGUUCCAAGUACAGCAGAUAAAGAACUGAAAAAAAAGUUCAUCUAUGACCAGUGAAGAAAGUUUUCCAACCUUCACUAACCUCUUAAAAUAAACUUAAAAAAGAAACCAAAAGUUUUAGCAAAAUAAGGUGUCCUGUUUCUUUGCCUUAUUCUUCAGGCAAUAAGCCAGGGGAUAAAAGUGCUAUUUACAACAGACAUGCAAACUUACAAAAGAAAUUAGUAAAGACACAUUUUGUUGAAGGCACCUAAAAUCCAGAACAAAGGUUGUAAGAUUUUUAAAUGGUAUAUUUCUCCACUUAACUGGUAAUAAAACUGGCUACUAAUUGUUAGGCCCAAGAAUUAUAUGAGAGGGACCAUUAACAUGUUGUUCUGUUUUUGAAGUAUCUGUCUGCAUUAACAUAGGGCAUUGUAGUGCAGAUUACAUUGAAAUGCUGACUACUCUGCUGUAAUAUUGCUAGGAGGAAAACAUUCAGUCCUACAGCAAAGAACUGAUAUUAGUUAACUUAGAAAAGAUAAGUAUUGCUCUGUUUCUGAUAUUUUAGGUGGUCUGGUGGAUAACUGAAGAUAUAUAUUAAUUUCCCAUGACAAUUUGGCAUUCUUCUUUCCACAGAUAAAUGGUUUACACUAGGAGUUGUUAACCUAAAACAAAGCAGUUACGUAUACAAACAAUACAACAGCUGUGACAUUAAUGCCAACUUCUUCCUGCUAAGUCUUUCAGGAUAUGUAACAAAUUUAAGUUUUAGAUUUAGAGAAAAAUCAAAUCACUUGUAGGUCAGAUUAGUUUUCUUUGCAGCAGUCAGCCCUGUCUAAGAGAAGCCAGUACUUCUGAGCUGCUAAAAAAUACGUUUAGAUCAAUGCAUCAAGAUCAACGAAGUCAGCAUCUUCUACAGCCUUGCCAUAUUAGAUUUUCUGCUUUACAUUUUCAUAACUAAUACUUUUUAAACAAAGUGCCAAAUGAAGAGAGAAAUAGGGAAACAAAGAUAGUCACAAUCAGAGCAAAAGAAGUACGUUUGUUUGCAUAUGCUAAUCAGUUUCCUCUGUGUGUUUUAGUUUUCCCCUUCGUAGGUGCAGACUGAGAGUGGAUAGGAAUAACGAACAACUAACCCAACAGCUAUGCUUCUUCUACUAUCUCUGCUUCCUUUUUGUUCUCUCAUCCAAACAAAGAAGUUUCUCCUACUGGACUUCUCCUCCUUACCAGAUCUGUCUCCUUUCUGCUCCCAUUCCCCCCACUGCCCCAUGGCCCCUUCCCCCACUGCCUUGCCUGUCUCCUGCCUGUUCCCACUGAUUUUCCAUUCUCCCUCCCGUCAGUCCUGGCUCUUUGUUCCCACAGGGCUCUGCAGAUGUGCAGCAGGAGUUCAACUGUCUCUUUUUAAUUUUUUUUUCCACUUUU